CAGCAGCCGCGGUAAUACGUAGGUGGCAAGCGUUGUCCGGAAUUAUUGGGCGUAAAAGGCUCGCAGGCGGUUUCUUAAGUCUGAUGUGAAAGCCCCCGGCUCAACCGGGGAGGGUCAUUGGAAACUGGGAAACUUGAGUGCAGAAGAGGAGAGUGGAAUUCCACGUGUAGCGGUGAGAUGCGUAGAGAUGUGGAGGAACACCAGUGGCGAAGGCGACUCUCUGGUCUGUGACUGACGCUGAGGAGCGAAAGCGUGGGGAGCGAACAGGAUUAGAUACCCCCGUAGUCCCUGUCUCUUAUAC
Molecule: ribosomal RNA, 301 nt
Filed under: uncultured bacterium
Lineage: Bacteria
Description: partial 16S ribosomal RNA
Rfam family: Bacterial small subunit ribosomal RNA
Source: RNAcentral